Macaca fascicularis (crab-eating macaque) is the source of this 117-nucleotide unclassified non-coding RNA. It matches the Rfam family "Metazoan signal recognition particle RNA". Rfam says of the family: The signal recognition particle (SRP) is a universally conserved ribonucleoprotein. It is involved in the co-translational targeting of proteins to membranes. The eukaryotic SRP consists of a 300-nucleotide 7S RNA and six proteins: SRPs 72, 68, 54, 19, 14, and 9. The record is from Ensembl. NCBI's taxonomy places the organism in Eukaryota, Metazoa, Chordata, Mammalia, Primates, Cercopithecidae.
GCCGGGUGCAGUGGCGUGCACCUGUAGUCCUAGCUACUUGGGAGGCUGAGGCAGAAGGAUCACUUAAGCCUAGGAAUUUGAGUCCAGCCUGGGCAACAUAGUGAGACCCUAUCUCUU